UCCCACUCAGCGCGGGCAGUCCUGCUAGAGUGCGCCCUUUCGGACUGGCAACUAGCAGCAAGGGUUUCGCUCGUUACAGCACUUAAGCUAACAUCUCACGACACGAGCUGACGACAGCCAUGCAACACCUGAUGAAGGCUCCCCUUUCGGGGUCGUUACCGUUUCCGGUUCCUACCACCUCCACUUCAAGCCCGGGUAAGGUUCUUCGCGUUGCAUCGAAUUGAACCACAUGCUCCACCGCUUGUGCGAGCCCCCGUCAAUUCCUUUGAGUUUUAACCUUGCGGCCGUACUCCCCAGGCGGGACACUUAACGCGUUAGCUGCAGCAGAGAAGGGUAAACCCUCCACCACUUAGUGUCCAUCGUUUACAGCUAGGACUAC
This 379-nucleotide unclassified non-coding RNA is filed under the name uncultured Planctomycetota bacterium. Its description in RNAcentral is "uncultured planctomycete contains 16S-23S intergenic spacer region". Lineage: Bacteria; Pseudomonadati; Planctomycetota. The record is from RNAcentral.